RNAcentral lists this non-coding RNA (30 nucleotides) under Homo sapiens (human). The record is from RNAcentral. Lineage: Eukaryota; Metazoa; Chordata; Mammalia; Primates; Hominidae.
UGAGGUUGAUCCAGGUUUAUCCGAAUAUGC